CGGCACAAACCGACACAGCUUUGCGAUCUCGCCAGCAUGCAGAGUCUGAUGUCUUCCCUAUAGAUGAUUCCAGAGACUCUGUGAAGCCACUAUUACAAGGUGAGACGCUUUGCGUUGAUUGGUGCUGCUGGACCACACUGGAGGUGCGAGUCCGCCGUGUAAUGGUUUAUGCCAUUACAAAGGAGCUGGCCUCUGUACUCAACUGGGCAGGGAAAAAAAAACAAGGACCAGACAAAGCAAAAAAGGGCAUUUAAAGAGACAGCGCUGUGCAGAUGCAUAUUUGAUGGCCUGGCGCAGCAGGUAGGGGCGAACUCUAUGUCUGAGUUGGUCUUUGCUCAAGCAGUCCAGAAAUGGCUCAGAUAUGCUCCAGGUCGUACGGGUGGCACGCAGGACGCACAUCAUCCAUCCCCAUCCCGGAGUAAAUAAUAAAAAGUGACGUGAAACAUAGAAAUGUAAAUAGGAAACUUUGUCUUUUAAUAAAGUAUUUUGCAAAUGAUACAUGUCUAUUGACCUUUUUUGGUUUUUUGGUUUUUUUCAAUAAAAAGCAACUGUGCGAAAGAGGUGGAAAAUCAAUACCAUAUCUCAACAGUGUUUCAAUGUCAACAGUGUUAGAAAAUAUAACGUCGAAUCAAUGUCAGGUUUCAACAUUGAUUCAACAUCAAAACCUGACGUUGUUUCAACGUUAAAAAUGGGUGCAAGAGUGACGUUGGGUCAACGUCACACUUCAACGUUGCUUCAAUGACGUCGCCUGAUAUUGACUCAACAUUGUUUCAAUGUUUCCUUGCUA
Pelmatolapia mariae (spotted tilapia) is the source of this 787-nucleotide long non-coding RNA. RefSeq lists it as uncharacterized. The record is from RefSeq and is a predicted model, not a curated record. Lineage: Eukaryota; Metazoa; Chordata; Actinopteri; Cichliformes; Cichlidae. The transcript has 4 exons.